GAUGAACGCUCGCUACAGGCUUAACACAUGCAAGUCGCGGGGCAGCAUGGGGGUUGCUUGCAAUCCCCGAUGGCGACCGGCGCACGGGUGAGUAACGCGUAUCCAACCUGCCCUUCACCACGGGAUAACCCGGCGAAAGUCGGACUAAUACCGUAUGUUGUCCAUUGACGGCAUCCGAUUUGGACGAAAGGUUUGGCGGUGAAGGAUGGGGAUGCGUCCGAUUAGCUGGACGGCGGGGUGACGGCCCACCGUGGCGACGAUCGGUAGGGGUUCUGAGAGGAAGGUCCCCCACACUGGAACUGAGACACGGUCCAGACUCCUACGGGAGGCAGCAGUGAGGAAUAGUGGUCAAUGGGCGUAAGCCUGAACCAGCCAAGUAGCGUGCAGGAUGACGGCCCUAUGGGUUGUAAACUGCUUUUAUGCGGGGAUAAAGUGGCCCACGUGUGGGUUUUUGCAGGUACCGCAUGAAUAAGGACCGGCUAAUUCCGUG
This 490-nucleotide ribosomal RNA is filed under the name uncultured bacterium. RNAcentral's name for it is "partial 16S ribosomal RNA". It matches the Rfam family "Bacterial small subunit ribosomal RNA", at positions 28 to 507 of the family's 1533-position model. The record is from RNAcentral.